Non-coding RNA from Cyanistes caeruleus (blue tit), 4981 nucleotides. The record is from RefSeq and is a predicted model, not a curated record. Lineage: Eukaryota; Metazoa; Chordata; Aves; Passeriformes; Paridae.
CUCCCGUUCGCCCCUGCACGGGGCUUGUCCCGAGAGCUGCGCACGGAGCUUUCGGGCGCCUGUUCUGAGAGCCUGGCGCUCUGUGGCUAGGUGCAAGUUGUGUUGAAAUAGGUGAUGGUCUAGGGAGGCUGCCGCGUGCUUUAAAUUUGCUUUCAUGUAUUGGAUCAAUCCUCGUAACUAAAGUUUGGCUACGGUAGAGAGCUUGAAAGGCAGCCAGUGAUGAAAGGAAGCACCUGAAGCUGACUUGUACUCAGAAGUUGUCGUGAAGUAAUAGAGUGGGAAUGAUUUAAAUGUCUUCUACUGUUCUGUUCCAGGCUUGUAAAUUUUGCCACUUUUCUGCAAUGGAUAAAAGAUAACUGAAUGUUUCAAUAAACGUUCAGGUAGUUUGCAUCUGAUGUUUCUUUUUGACACCAGCAGGCAGCUCCUCUAGGAGCAGACUGUAUUAAUACUGUGUAGUGUAAUGUAAUUAAUACUGUGCUAUUAAUGAGCAGCAGGUUUCUGUCAAAUCAUCCAGGCACUGUCUGAAAAAAAUCAUGCCUAAACAUCCCUCAUCCUGGCCAGUCAGUCAAUAACUUCCUGCAUAUUGGGAGAGAGAAUGGACAGCUGGAGUGGUGAUUCCUGACAGAAGAACUUCUCAGAGCACCUGGGAUUUUUAUCUUACCCCAGCCUUGUAUUUAUUUGGGAUCAUAACAUCUGCCCUGCAGCAACUUUGAAGUUUUUCAUAGAUCUGGAUAAGAAUUAAGACUUGGAUUUUGAAGUGUUUGAGCAAGUUACUACUGCCCAAGUCAUGACGCUUCCGUUUCGAAAGGACUUGGACAAGUACAAAGAUCUCGAUGAGGAUGAAAUUCUUGGCAAACUUUCAGAAGAAGAACUGAAACAACUGGAAACUGUUUUGGAUGAUCUUGACCCUGAGAACGCGCUGCUGCCUGCAGGCUUCCGGCAGAAAGACCAGACUGCCAAGAAGGCCUCAGGUCCCUUCGACAGGGAGCGGCUCCUGGCAUAUUUGGAGAAGCAGGCGCUGGAGUACAAGGACAGGGAAGACUAUGUGCCUUUUACAAGAGAAAAGAAAGGGAAAAUAUUUAUCCCCAAGCAAAAGCCUGUACAGUCUUUCACAGAAGAAAAAUUCACUCUUGAUCCAGAACUGGAGGAAGCCUUGACCAGUGCCACAGACACAGAAUUAGGUGACCUUGCAGCAAUACUGGGAAUGUCCAACUUAAUAACAAACAAUCAGUUCUGUGAUGUAGUAGGAAGCAGUAAUGGGGUUGACAAAGACAGCUUCUCAAAUAUAGUAAAAGGUGAAAAAAUGUUGCCUGUUUUUGAUGAACCACCAAAUCCUACAAACGUGGAGGAGACACUGCAAAGGAUUAAAGAUAAUGAUUCUCGUCUUGUUGAAGUUAAUUUAAAUAAUAUUAAGAACAUACCAAUUCCAACGCUGAAAGAAUUUGCAAAAGCCUUAGAAACCAACACACAUGUGAAGAAUUUUAGCCUGGCAGCCACCCGAAGCAAUGAUCCUGUUGCUGUUGCUCUUGCAGACAUGCUGAGAGUAAACACAAAAUUAAAAAGUUUGAACAUAGAAUCAAACUUCAUCACUGGAGUUGGAAUUCUGGCAUUGGUUGAUGCAUUGAAAGACAAUGAAACGUUGACAGAGAUCAAAAUUGAUAAUCAGAGGCAGCAGCUGGGCACAGCUGCAGAAGUAGAAAUUGCCAAGAUGCUUGAAGAAAACAACAAGAUCCUCAAAUUUGGAUACCAUUUUACACAACAGGGACCUCGAGCCAGGGCAGCUGCAGCUAUCACAAAAAACAAUGAUUUGGUCUGGAGUAUGCGAGUAAAAGUUUCUGCAAAUACCUUUUCAUCUCUCCAGCCCUGAAGCUACAGAGAAGGUUACUCUGAAUACCCGCUUGGGUAUUGAGCAGUGAAACUGGGAUGUUCGAAGUCUCUCAUUUCUCUCUUUUUCGGAAGAGAAGGGUUGAAGGAGACAAUUAGAGCUGUUGCCAGAACUGUGGAGUCAGCACGGGCAGCACCGUGGGCUUUGGCAAUCUUGGACUACAUUGACCUGGGUUAGAAGGGAAAAGACUGGAAACCCCAUUCCUUUUAAAGCAAAGCAAUAGAAUCAUCUGCUGGUAUGCAGCACGGUUUUGGGAUGGAUGGAAACACAGUAGUGUGCCAGUCUCUGUACCAUAGGUUUUGAUAGGGCUUUUUUAAGAACUUCUUUUGUAUUUCAAGACUUUGGCUGUGCUUUCUACUAAAAAUGUAAUUGUAAAUCAAUGGUAUAAUUGUCUGUGGUCAAAGAAUGGGACCUCUAAUAUCAUUGGGCAGAUACUGACCCAACUGAAACGUUUGCAAGAAAAUCUGGGGGUGUGUAUUUACGUGGAGGGGUGUGUGUAUUCCUGACAACAAUGCAUUAGACAGAAGGGAUUCUUCACCCAGCAGCUGGACUCGUGUAGAGCUGUUCAGCUUUGUUCAUAUGCACUGAAGAGAAAUCUUUCACAGCAAUGUUAUUUGUAAUUCUACUGUGUUGUUUUUUACUAGUUCUUGAUACUGUGAUGCAGUUCAAAGACAUCCUUUUAAGCCAAACAAAAAUAAAUUGACUAAGGACUUCUCCCGGGAGAUUAGAGGGACUAAUACAAAAGUGGAAGUCUUGCGGAAAAAGAAAAAAAAAAAUUAGGAGCCUUGCAAAAUGAGUUUUUCUGUUACACCUAAAUCCUUAAAGUCUUUUCAAAAGAUCCUGUAGCUGUGUCUCACUCAGUAUCUAAACUGGACACAUUUUUAGACUGAUUUCAUGUGUUCAUCACCAUUAUUUAGCUCAUAUUCUGUGUUUAAAAAUUGUUAUCUACAUUCAUGGGUAUCAAUUUCUCUAGAAGUAGUGAACAUUCAUAUUUAAAAUACUGCAGAACUGUACAGGAAGAACAGCCUUAACUGUAAAACCACUGACCUAAGUUGUAUUACAUUAAGCUAUUUGUACUUCAUACAAAUCUAACAGUUUUUAAUAAUGAAGUAACACUUUUUAAGUGUUUUUCCAUUCUAUAUCUGUGUUUACGUUGAAACACUACCUUAAGACAUGCAAAAACUAACCAAUAUGUAGUGUCAAAUCUCUAGGGUAUAGUCAUUAUUAAAGUGUUUAAAGUUCUAUAAGCAAAAUAAUAAGGCAACAAGAAUCACUUCAACUUCUGCACAUAAUCACAGUACACUUUGAAAUAUUAAAAUCUAGAAGUUUUUUGGUGUAGGUCUGUUUGGACUGUCUUGUACUAGUUUGCUUUGAGAUCACAAAAAUAUUCUACAGGACUGCUUGGCUGUAUUUAUAGCAACAGAGAAUUCAACUGACAACUGCUUUCAUCCAAAGAUCAUAAUGAGCAUUUAUGUGUAGAAAACAUAUUGGGCUGAGAAUUUUGCAUCAGGUUGUAUAUACUAUAAAAACAGAGCAUUGUGCCCACAUUGCAAUUUGCUGCAAAUCUUGGUUUGGAUCUUUAAAGACAGACUUUAUUCUGGAGGUGGCUUCAAAUUUUACUGCAACUGUACAGAGAAUUUUGAACUACAGUGCCUUCAGUAGGGAUGUAUAUAACUGGUUUAUACUCACGGAAGAACCUUUUUUUUCCCCUAUUUCUAAAUCAGCCUUUUAUUAGAAUUACAAAUAAAUAUCUGCUCUGAAAACCAAGUUGGAACUAAUUCAGUUAAAACCAAAGACUACACUUACUGUAACCUCACAACAACAUCAGAAGUGUUCUGUUGAGUAACAAAAAGGGCUUAUUUUGGUUUGGGCUUUUGUAAAUUUUCAAGAACUUUUUAGAUUUUAAAAUAAACUUUGAAAUAGUUCUAAUACAGUAUGCAUACAGGCACAAGUUAAGUGUCCUUUUACAGACAGACACUGCUGUAUAAACAUGGCCAAAGCAUGUCAUGUGCUGAGUUGCCUAAAGCUGUACUUUACUUUUUAUUUGCUAGGCACCGUAAUCAUUUUGUGUCAAAAAACAGGCUAUAAUAUCUUCCUUCAUUUGUUGAAGGGCUGCAUGUUCACAGAAUCUGUUCAUGUAUUGGGAUUCUAGGAUGAGUUAUUUUAUCACUGCCUAGAAAGAUUAGGCAGUUAUUGCCGACUUGAACAUGAAGGAGAAAGCUGAAAGGCUGGAUUAUGGAAAUAAUAGCCCAAAUCAAUUUCUUGCUUUUACUAAAUCAAGUUUGGCUGUAUAAUUAUUUAUAUUCCAAUCAAAGGCAGGGCCAUUUAUGUUGCAGCUCUCAGGUGUCCUGUCACAAAUGAUAGUAUUGGACCCUAAUAAAUGGUUUAGCUCUGUGGACAACAGCUAAAAAUUUGACUGCUUAUGGACUGCUUCAGUACAGAUACCUGACAGGCUGGGCAUGGAAAACCAAUAUUUUCAACUAGAAGGGUUUAAUAAUCCAAAUUGUUGCAAGACCUUUGGCAUGGUGCAUGGAACAGUUAACAGCAAUCACUUUUGUGCCUGCAGUGUGUAUCCUUUUUGGAAUAAAUGAUAAAAUUCAGUCUGUAGCCAGGAACCUUCAACAGUCUCAACAAAAGCACGGCUAUAAUGUCAUUGAGUGUGGUGAGAUCCUGCAUAUGGCUUCACUGAGUGUGAGUGCAGGGGUGGUACUACUUUAAUAACCAGUUACCAUAAACACAAGGUCUUUUUUCCUAAAGAGAUACUGUUUUUUUACUCGAUUAUUUUUCCAGCUUAAAGCAAGAAAUCAAAUGACCGCAUAUGUUGAUUCUGUUGGUUUGAAGCUUAGCAUGGAAACAUAACCAAUAUUUCAGAGCAAAUACCUAUUUAGUCUUGUAUUUUAAAUAGCCUCAUUCUCUCUACAGCUUGAGUAAUCCUGCGUUUGUAAGCUACAAACGAGUUAAGUGUUCAAUUUAAAUUUCCAUUGGGGAAACAGGUAUUGAGUAUUUUAGCAUAUCAGUACUAUAUGCUGUCAGAUUGUAUAACAGUUACAAAUUUUUGGAUGAUUAAAGUACUGUAUUCUUGUUGUGGCUUCGGGA